This 492-nucleotide ribosomal RNA is filed under the name uncultured bacterium. Its description in RNAcentral is "partial 16S ribosomal RNA". It matches the Rfam family "Bacterial small subunit ribosomal RNA", at positions 28 to 507 of the family's 1533-position model. The record is from RNAcentral.
GACGAACGCUAGCUACAGGCUUAACACAUGCAAGUCGAGCGGAAACGCCCUUCAGUUCUUGCAUUCUUUGGACGCCGACGGGUGCACGGGACGGUAAUGCCCUUCCAACCUCUCUAUUACAACUGGAGAAAACUGCGGAAAGUACACUAAUAACGCUUAGGCUUCGUUGAGGGGAUUGGAAUUGUAGUGCAGUUUUAGAUGGACUGGCUGGGGAUGCGUUUGAUUGGCUUGUUGGCGGGGAACAGGGCCACCAAGGCGACGAUCAGUAGGGGUUCUGAGAGGAAGGUCCCCCACAUUGGAACUGGGACACGUUCCAAACUCCUACGGGAGGCAGCAGUGAGGAAGAUUGGUCAAUGGACGGAAGUCUGAACCAGCCAAGUAGCGUGCAGGAUGACGGCCCUAUGGGUUGUAAACUGCUUUUGUAUGGGGAUAAAGUUAGGGACGUGUCCCUAUUUGCAGGUACCAUACGAAUAAGGACCGGCUAAUUCCGUG